Camelus dromedarius (Arabian camel) is the source of this 4636-nucleotide long non-coding RNA. RefSeq lists it as uncharacterized. NCBI's taxonomy places the organism in Eukaryota, Metazoa, Chordata, Mammalia, Artiodactyla, Camelidae. The transcript is spliced from 2 exons. The record is from RefSeq and is a predicted model, not a curated record.
CACUCGGCCGCUCUCACCUCUCAGUGAGCACCCGACUGGCAGCUCUCAUCGCUUCCCCGGGAGCCCGAGUCCGGGCCCGCUCCUAGGGCGCGGGCGGAAGGAGCUGAGGCCUCCCUUUACCCUGCGGGUCUUGGCCCCCAGUUCCCCCACGGGGUGGGGGUGGGGGGUCGAGGGAUUAGCCCCUCCCGCCUGGCGGCAGCCAAAGGCGGAAGAGCGCGAGCCCGGGGCGGAGCUCCUUGAGCGGGGCGGGGCGGGCGGAGUGCCUCGGCGGCGGGGCCCGGCGGGAACAAACAGCCGCCGCCGCGGGAGCGCGGCUCGGGUGGCCGGAGGCGGGUCCUUCUCUUCCCCGCAGACUCCUCAAACUUUCAGUUCCCAGGAGCCGCUGCCCUCAGUGCGCUCAGCCCUGGAUGUUAAGGUUCACGGGGACGCCAGCAGGAGCCCGGAGCAGUAGCGAGAGUCCCCACCCAUUAUCUCCCCAAGGCAGUGCCCGGGCCACCAAGGCCGAAGCGCAGUUGGGGCGCCAGCGGAGCCUGAGAAGCCGGGACCGACGCCGCCGGAGUGGGGCCUGCCGGAGCCGGAGUGGCUUCCGGACCAAGAGGAGACGCACUUGAGUGAUCGCGAGGAGCAAACUUGGCGUUCUCAGCCUCGGUCUUCGGAGAGAUCUUCGCCUGCUCAAGAGCGAUCGGCUCCGUUGGCCCCGGGUGGGAGGAGGGAGACUCCAGAUCUUGUGACCUGCAGGAGCGAUGCGGCGGGGCUCCCCACACGCGGGAGCAGGACUCGGGGUUAAGAGUUCAGGGAGACGCUGGCCUCUCUGCAAGCACAGAAAUGGCAGGGCCUCCGGUGCGUCCACUUUCAACUUGAGCCCACCUGCCCAGCCCAGGCACCGGCUCAGGGGUCAGCGCCUCUACACCUCGGGUAACUUACACCUCUCGGAGGAAAUGUCUUUCUCCCCUUCCCGUGUGCAUGGCCACUGCCCCAGGGCUACGUGGUGGGGACUCGCAGGAGCACCCUCGAGCGCCUUCACUGCGCAGUGGCCGGACCAGGGCGCUGCGAAGCCUGUGCACUCUUGUUCGUUCGCGGGAAGAGGGUUGCAGGUUCAGGAGAAGGUGGAAAUAGUUCCGCUCCCACAAGCACCCGACCUGGGACGCCGGCUUUCUCAGCAACUGCGGUAAGGCAGGCCCCAUGCGCUUAUGAGAUGUGCCGCUGGGGCAGGGGAGUUGGGGGCGCUUCCAGGUGUGUCGGGACGUGGGCCUCAGGUCUAAAUGCUCUGCUAAGUACGUCCUGGUUCCUGGCCCACGCGAGUGUUUCUGCGCCUCCGGGCCACGGUGGCUGUGUGCCCGAGUACGUCCCUGAGCGACCGGCGCCCUUGCGGGGUCCUCCCCUCCCGACCGCACAUCUGUGCAGGGGACAGCCCUGGAAGGCUCGCCAGCCAGGACCACAGCUUCACCUCACGGCCUGAUAGGGCGCGACCUGUUCGGGGAUUCCAGACCCGCUCCGGGCCGCGGCGUGACCCCGGCGGGGAAGGAGGAUGUGAGUGUGUGAGCCUGGGCAGAGGACUGCGCCGUGGCGUGAGAGGGAGGAGGGGUUACAGGAGCCUCUUGUGGAGAAGCUGGAAAGACUAACGGCGCUGCCUCCUUCCUACCAAUUCCGCGCAGCUUGCUGGGGCAGCAGUGCCUCAGGAACGGGACGGCCUUUCACAGCCCUAAAUUGGAGCCAGAGGUGCAGAACCGUGUGAACCUGGUCCCCUACGGUACACAUACGCGCGCGCGCGCGCGCGCGCGCGCGCAUUUAGCCUUUCGGAGCCCCAGGCAGGGUAACUGGUGAGGCCAUAAGUCCCCGCUCAGGCGAGGAAACACUGCCAUCGCCUGAGCCCUCUGCAGCUGCUGCGGAGCCGCGUAAGCCCCACCAAAGUGGAGCGAGGGGACCACGGGAGUCCCGUCCCUGCCGCGAAGACGCUGGUGACGGAUUCUUGGGAAACAGCGACCCCUGGAGGAGCCGCGAAACCACACGAAGAGGCAGGAACGGGAUGACUAGGUUGGGGACCAAAGUGUCCCUUCCCCAACCCACUCCUUUGAAAAUAAUCCUGAGACUCAUUACCUCAGGAUUCCCCUUUGUGCAUACUUGCUUCCUUUCCCAGUCCGUACCCAGGCCUCAAAUCCUGGCUUAGAAUCCCGACUCCUCCAGAAAGGAGCCUUCUUGAAAGCCCAAUUCAUCUUCCCGUCUUCCUACUUUGAGCUCCUCAGAACCUAAAGCCUGAACUCGACUCUAGAGCUAACAGCACUAGCAACCUGCUUUCUGCCUCCCUUUCUCCGAAGAGACCAUUGGUCCAUCCACUCCACCCAUCCUUUGCAUUCCAUGCUGGAUGUGUUCUCCAACCACCUGCAUCCCUGCCACUACCAGUAAAGAAUGAAGUCAUUUAUUCCAAAAUUGGACUGUAGGUUUUCAAAGUUAGUUUCAAAGAUGGGUAAAUUAAGACCCAGACCGAGGACUGACUUCCCCAAGGUCACACAGCAAAUUGAUUGCAGAGGUGGAACUAGAUCCCAGACUCCCAUUUCCCAGCCCAGAGCAUUCUCCCUUUUGCCUGCAUGGCGAGGGGAAAUGCAAGAAGGAACGUGUGUGUCUGUGUGUCUGUGUGUGUGUGUGUUGGGGCAGGGAUGAGGAGUCUGCUCCAGGAUGGGGCAGUAAGGAAGGACGGCAGGGCAAAGUUGCCCCGGGAGGUCAGACUCUUCCUUCCCCCCAGCACUCACCCAAAUCAAGCUACUCUGAAAGGCUCCAAAUUUCAUGGGGUUGGCUGAGUGUUUUAUACUGGGGCUGGGAACAGCUUCAAUUCAGGCAAAUACCACCCUCUCCUCUGCCCUGGAAAGGGAGAGGGAGACUGUUAAUACAUACGCACAGGGUGCAGCUGAGACCUCAGAUCAGCAGGAGCAAGCCACUGGUGCCUGCAGUUAGAAAGUUAGAGGAGAAGCUGGGAGGGUGAUUUGCAUAUAAUUUGUAUGCGGCUCCAGUGAUACAUGUCCAGCAGCCUGAGACCUUCUCAGAGGGGCUUUCCUUCUGCAAGACGUGUGCUUCUUUGCACAGACUACCAGGCAGACUGGCCCCUGCCUCCUUGUCCAGCCUUGUCUCCAACCCUUGUGCUGUAUUCACACCUGAUUUACUUUUUCUUACCUCUUCACCUUUGCAUGCAGUUCACUCCUGCCUGGCUCACUCCUAAUCCUGUGUCCAUUUCAAAUGUCAAGCUCUAUGAGCUGCCUCCCCCAACAGCAUCCCACACUGGUCAGGCUGUGGAGGGGCCCUGCCUCUGGGCAACAAAAGCACUAAUUCCCUCUCUUGUCAUGAUUUGUUUCCUAGUCUGCCACCCUCUGGAGACUGUGAGCUCCUUGAGAACAGGCAUUAUGUUGUCUUCAUCAUCACUGUGCCUCUUCUACAAAGUGAGGAUAAUAGUUGUACCUACCUCACUGAGUGGUUGUGAGAUCAAAUGAGAAUGCAUAUCAGGCACUUAGCCCAGUGCCUGAAACUUUGAAAGAAGCUCAGUAAGUGCUCCCCACCAUGAUAACCAUCAUUAUUAAACACUCUACCUCCUGCCAGGCAUGAAAUCCAACACAUAGUAGGUACUCAAUUAAUGUUAGAUAUGUGGAUACGUGAAUGAAUGAAUGAAUGAAUGAUAUGACUUAUUUCUGACUCUUUCUGGGACUUCCCAGAAAGUUAUCUUACAACAUUCAAUUAGAAAUAUGUGUUCUCUAAGGACAGACAUUAUUUCUCCCCCAUCAGUCCCAUCCCUGAAGGGAGGAGCACAUGUUCCCAUUGGAAAGAGUUUUCCAUGAUCCCUGAUGCCAGCAGUCAUUGGCUUUCUCUUUCAUGCUCUCUGCCUCAGUUUCUUUCUUUUAAAAUGGUUCUGACCAAUCAAACCAGCCAAACCCUUCCAAAAUCUUCAGGGAACUCUCCAUCACUUGUAAGACAAAACUCAAUCUCCUUAGCAUGAUGAGCUGAACAUGCUCAGUCUUGGGAUGUCUCACCUCUUUGUUGGGGAAAACCUCCCCUCCUGUAUUCCAUGUGGUCCUGAUGAGACUGUUUAAUCUCUGCGCCCCUCACACUUACCUCCAGGAGCCGCCAGGCAACCUGGCUGGAUCAAACAUAGCAUUGUGAGUCCAAAGCCAAGUGAUAGGUCUAAGCAGGAGUAAGUGACCUAAGCUGAGCCAAUCACUCCUAUAAGAUUUGAUAUAAGGACUCCGGGGCUCUGGGAGGGUGCUUCUCCUUUUGGGUCAGAAGAUCAGCGCAUAGGUUUCACUGCCAGCAGCCAGCCUUCCUGCCAUGUGGAGAGAGCUGUUGGACAUCAGUGCCCACCCACAGGAAAAAAAAAAAAAACACCCUAAGGAGACAAAGCCUUAGUAACAGUGUCAAGUCCUCUGGCUCUGCCUGAAACUGGAACCCUUAGACUUCCCAGACAUUCUAAAGAUAUUCCCCUUUUUGUUUAAGGUAGGUUGAAUUGAAUUUCUGCUAGUUUGAGUUUAGCUUCACAAACAGCAGAGCCACAGGGGAGAAGGAUCCUGGAUUCCUGAGAUCACAGAGGAGCCGUACCAUCCUGAACUGCCUGCACAGACUUUCAUGUGAAAAGGAAAUAAACUUCAGUCUUGGUUAA